Molecule: ribosomal RNA, 769 nt
Filed under: uncultured bacterium
Lineage: Bacteria
Description: bacterial SSU rRNA
Rfam family: Bacterial small subunit ribosomal RNA
Source: RNAcentral
ACACGUAUCCAACCUGCCGUCUACUCUUGGACAGCCUUCUGAAGGGAAGAUUAAUACAAGAUGGCAUCAUGAGUCCGCAUGUUCACAUGAUUAAAGGUAUUCCGGUAGACGAUGGGGAUGCGUUCCAUUAGAUAGUAGGCGGGGUAACGGCCCACCUAGUCUUCGAUGGAUAGGGGUUCUGAGAGGAAGGUCCCCCACAUUGGAACUGAGACACGGUCCAAACUCCUACGGGAGGCAGCAGUGAGGAAUAUUGGUCAAUGGGCGAGAGCCUGAACCAGCCAAGUAGCGUGAAGGAUGACUGCCCUAUGGGUUGUAAACUUCUUUUAUAAAGGAAUAAAGUCGGGUAUGCAUACCCGUUUGCAUGUACUUUAUGAAUAAGGAUCGGCUAACUCCGUGCCAGCAGCCGCGGUAAUACGGAGGAUCCGAGCGUUAUCCGGAUUUAUUGGGUUUAAAGGGAGCGUAGAUGGAUGUUUAAGUCAGUUGUGAAAGUUUGCGGCUCAACCGUAAAAUUGCAGUUGAUACUGGAUAUCUUGAGUGCAGUUGAGGCAGGCGGAAUUCGUGGUGUAGCGGUGAAAUGCUUAGAUAUCACGAAGAACUCCGAUUGCGAAGGCAGCCUGCUAAGCUGCAACUGACAUUGAGGCUCGAAAGUGUGGGUAUCAAACAGGAUUAGAUACCCUGGUAGUCCACACGGUAAACGAUGAAUACUCGCUGUUUGUGAUAUACAGCAAGCGGCCAAGCGAAAGCGUUAAGUAUUCCACCUGGGGAGUAC